CUACGGGAGGCUGCAGUGGGGAAUAUUGCACAAUGGGCGCAAGCCUGAUGCAGCCAUGCCGCGUGUAUGAAGAAGGCCUUCGGGUUGUAAAGUACUUUCAGCGGGGAGGAAGGGAGUAAAGUUAAUACCUUUGCUCAUUGACGUUACCCGCAGAAGAAGCACCGGCUAACUCCGUGCCAGCAGCCGCGGUAAUACGGAGGGUGCAAGCGGUAAUCGGAAUUACUGGGCGUAAAGCGCACGCAGGCGGUUUGUUAAGUCAGAUGUGAAAUCCCCGGGCUCAACCUGGGAACUGCAUCUGAUACUGGCAAGCUUGAGUCUCGUAGAGGGGGGUAGAAUUCCAGGUGUAGCGGUGACAUGCGUAGAGAUCUGGGGGAAUACCGGUGGCGAAGGCGGCCCCCUGGACGAAGACUGACGCUCAGGUGCGAAAGCGUGGGGAGCAAACAGGAUUAGAUACCCGAGUAGUC
RNAcentral lists this ribosomal RNA (464 nucleotides) under uncultured bacterium. Its description in RNAcentral is "partial 16S ribosomal RNA". It matches the Rfam family "Bacterial small subunit ribosomal RNA", at positions 339 to 795 of the family's 1533-position model. The record is from RNAcentral.